Molecule: long non-coding RNA, 1738 nt
Organism: Homo sapiens (human)
Lineage: Eukaryota; Metazoa; Chordata; Mammalia; Primates; Hominidae
Gene: SNHG14
Product: small nucleolar RNA host gene 14
Source: Ensembl
AGGCUAAUUUUUGUGUUUUUAGUAGAGAUGGGGUUUCACCAUGUUGGCCGGGCUGGUCUCGAACUCCUGACCUUAAGUGAUCUGCCUGCAUCAGCCUCCCAAAGUGCUGGGAUUACAAGCAUGAGCCACCAUGCCCAGCCAAGUACAGACUUUUUCUUUGGUUAUUAUUCCCUAAAACAGUACAGUAUAACAACUAUUUACGCAGCAUUUACAUUGUAUUCAGCAUCAUGAGUAAUCUAGAAAUGAUUUCCUGCAUAUAGGAGGAUGUACAUAGGUUCUAUGCCAAUAGUGCACAGUGCUCGCUGUGUUUAAAGAAAUAUCCUAGGUAUAGAAUAAAUAAUUUUGAAGUCAGUGUGUUGAGAAAACACUGACAUGGAUAGAAAAUAUUCUGUCUAGAAUAGAAAAAACAAUAGAAUAGAAAAAGUUCUAUCUGUAUCAGUCUGAUCAAAGAUGUGAGCAUAAUUAUUCUUGUCAUACAUAUAGUCUAAUGAAUGUCUAAAGUGAAUUCUUAUAACUGCUUGUAACAAAAUAUUUCAUUUGGCAAAUGUUAUUUCACAACUUUCCUAAUUGCCCAUGUACUUUGUAGAUUGGUUUUCACAGAAUUCCAUGGACUUUAACUGCUGAACCAAUGAUGCACUGAUUUUGUCACUUGUACCAGCUAACGCAUCUGGGAGGCAACAAAACAAUACUCUCCUGAGGUUAAUGUGGACCAAAAACUAGAUUUCAUAUAAAAGAGUUUAUUCCUUCUACUUGAGGUGUGACAUGAAGGAAAGUAAUGGAAAUAAUUCUGCCCUCCCAUUCUCAAGGGCCAGGGGGAAUUCAAAUAUUGAACGGAAGUGAUUUUGGAAUUGCAUGGAAUUCUCACUGCCAUCCCAAAGAAAUGCUGAUCUUGUCACUCUUACCUGUUUCAUUCCCUGGGGGCAGAACAAAAGGACGCACUCCAAAGAUCGGCAUGAACCAAGAACUGGGUUUCAUAUAAAAUAUUUUAUUCUGUCCUCUUGAGAUGUGACAUGAGAAAAGUAUUGAGAAUACUUCUAUCACCUCAUCUUCAAGAAUCCGUAGGAAUUCUCCCAUGGUGGACUUUACGGUUAACCUGAACAGGUCUUGGAAAAAGGACUUUAAACAUUCUCCUGUUCUGUGGAAUAAGUAUACUUUUUUCUGGACAUACACCUUGUCAGUGAGUAUGUAUCAUAAUUCCUCAUAACUUCUUAUCAGGAAACAUUCGAUGUAGAAGAUUUCUUUCUCAACUUCUCUAAUUGCCCCUGUGGUUUGCAGGUUCCAUGUGAUACUAGAGUUGCAUAGAUUUUUAACCUUUACGCCAAUGAAGAUCUGAGGCAAACAUUGCCCCUUUUUUAGAAGUUUGCAUUUGUCACUGAUAACUGUAAUAAUUGAUCUUGUUGAAAAGCCUGGGAAAUGAAGAUCUGAUAUGUCACUUUUACCGGCUUCCUCAACUGAAAAAGAAUACAAUGAAACACGCUGAGAAUUUUUGUGCUUUCUCAGUCUUGCUGAUGAUCUUUCUAUGGGCCUGAAGCGUGGAGAGUGCCAGAGAGGCUGAUCCUCAGCAGUGUGGCAGAGGAAAGUUGGGUGCGACUAAGGGGUAUGCGGUGCCCACAUGCCACUGGGUCCUCAGCAGUACCACCUGGUGAGCGUCACUCUUGAGAGCUGAGAGUAGGUGGGAAGCAGCUCAUGGUGAGAGGGUUCAGAGGCCGCCUUUCCCUCUCUGCGCACUGCCCAGUUC